CCUUUUCAGCUGCGGAGUUUCUUAGGCUAGUGAAAUUGAUACGUGUGUCUUCACCUCUGAACUAUCAAUAUUAUGUUUCAAAUCUUUGAUUCGAUUCAUUCUUUUGCUUCAGAGUGCAGAUACACGCAUCUCUUUUCCUAGCUACCUAUUCUAAUGUUUUUCUUCCUCUUUGGGAGAUUUUCAACCAAACUUUGGAUCUAAUCAAGCCAACUCCAAAGGGAAAUCAUAACAUAUGUUUGGAGUUCAAUCUCAUGAGGCCUGAUUCUCGCUCCAUAUCAACCUUCUUUCAUCAAUCAAGUAAGGUAUAGGUCUAUGCAAUUUCUAAGGUUUAGAUCAUGUUAUCUAUACUUUUUACAGGGCAUACCAAUAGCUUAUAAGAUCAUAUGAUUAAAAAAGACAUAGGACAUAGGUCGUAUCGAAGAUUUUACCUUGGUUGGAACAAUCUUUGACGAAACUUUAAUUUCCUCCGACAAAUUUUUGGAUUACCAAGCCCUUUCUAUGUGAGCAGGAUGGUUGAGAAAAAACUCAUGACUUGGAAGAAACAAAGGAAGUAGAAUCCGAGUGAGGGCAAGGAGUGCACUGCUUUCUAAUGGAGUUAUUUUAUAUGUCCUUAACCUCCCAGAGUUUCAGAAUUUUGUAUUGCGGGCUCAAUCUUCACAAAUAAAAUGACGCAGAUGAUUAGAAGAUCAAUGAGGUCACAUGUGGUUUACUGCAGGGCUGACGGAAUCAGUGGUACCAAUGCAUAGAUGGGCAACACCGAUGAUGGGGGAGCUUAAAUGUAAUGUGGAUACAGCUACUUUUAAUGGUAACAAUUGUUUAAGUGCACGGAUGUGUGUGCAAGAUGAUAGAGGCAAGUUUAUUUGUGCUCAAACCUCAUGGAAUGUCGGUAAACCGAGCCCUCAGUAAGCGGAAGCAUAGGGUCUAAAGCAAGCUCUGUGUUCUUAUGAAUUUAGGCUUCUGCAAAGUGUUUAUUGAACUAGAUUC
Molecule: long non-coding RNA, 984 nt
Filed under: Medicago truncatula (barrel medic)
Lineage: Eukaryota; Viridiplantae; Streptophyta; Magnoliopsida; Fabales; Fabaceae
Description: lncRNA gene10226
Source: RNAcentral